Molecule: transfer RNA, 73 nt
Filed under: Caerostris darwini
Lineage: Eukaryota; Metazoa; Arthropoda; Arachnida; Araneae; Araneidae
Description: tRNA-Phe
Rfam family: tRNA
About the family: Transfer RNA (tRNA) molecules are approximately 80 nucleotides in length. Their secondary structure includes four short double-helical elements and three loops (D, anti-codon, and T loops).
Source: RNAcentral
GCCGAAAUAGCUCAGUUGGGAGAGCGUUAGACUGAAGAUCUAAAGGUCGCUGGUUCCAUCCCGGAUUUCGGCU